This 465-nucleotide ribosomal RNA is filed under the name uncultured bacterium. RNAcentral's name for it is "partial 16S ribosomal RNA". It matches the Rfam family "Bacterial small subunit ribosomal RNA", at positions 338 to 795 of the family's 1533-position model. The record is from RNAcentral.
CCUACGGGAGGCAGCAGUAGGGAAUCUUCCACAAUGGGCGAAAGCCUGAUGGAGCAACGCCGCGUGGGUGAAGAAGGUCUUCGGAUCGUAAAACCCUGUUGUUAGAGAAGAAAGUGCGUGAGAGUAACUGUUCACGUUUCGACGGUAUCUAACCAGAAAGCCACGGCUAACUACGUGCCAGCAGCCGCGGUAAUACGUAGGUGGCAAGCGUUAUCCGGAUUGAUUGGGCGUAAAGGGAACGCAGGGGGUCUUUUAAGUCUGAUGUGAAAGCCUUCGGCUUAACCGGAGUAGUGCAUUGGAAACUGGGAGACUUGAGUGCAGAAGAGGAGAGUGGAACUCCAUGUGUAGCGGUGAAAUGCGUAGAUAUAUGGAAGAACCCCAGUGGCGAAAGCGGCUCUCUGGUCUGUAACUGACGCUGAGGUUCGAAAGCGUGGGUAGCAAACAGGAUUAGAUACCCGGGUAGUC